UUUCCGUAGGUGAACCUGCGGAAGGAUCAUUAUCGAAAUACUUAUUUAACGUUCCGUGCUAUCCCAUUGUUUUAUUUACCCUGUUGCUUCCACUGGAUGAGUUUCCAUACCUUGUGUUUGAGAAACUUUGGCUUGUGUAAGAUUCAUUCACGGCCAGCCAGUGAGAAGACCAUUUACAAAACCCUGUUAAGAACCAAUUGUCUGAAUAUUUUACUCCAAUGAAAUAAAACUCUCAACAACGGAUCUCUAGGCUCUU
This 256-nucleotide unclassified non-coding RNA is filed under the name plant metagenome. RNAcentral's name for it is "partial contains small subunit ribosomal RNA, internal transcribed spacer 1, and 5.8S ribosomal RNA". The record is from RNAcentral.